UCCCUGGUGGUCCAGUGGUUAGAACCCUACACUGUCACUGUGGGAGACGCAGGUUCAAUCCCUGGCCAGGGAA
Non-coding RNA from Odocoileus virginianus texanus, 73 nucleotides. The record is from the annotation of a RefSeq genome assembly. Lineage: Eukaryota; Metazoa; Chordata; Mammalia; Artiodactyla; Cervidae.